This 403-nucleotide ribosomal RNA is filed under the name bacterium. Its description in RNAcentral is "partial 16S ribosomal RNA". It matches the Rfam family "Bacterial small subunit ribosomal RNA", at positions 355 to 776 of the family's 1533-position model. The record is from RNAcentral.
UGGGGAAUAUUGCACAAUGGGGGAAACCCUGAUGCAGCGACGCCGCGUGAACGAAGAAGGUAUUCGUAUCGUAAAGUUCUGUCCUAUGGGAAGAUAAUGACAGUACCAUAGAAGAAAGCUCCGGCUAAAUACGUGCCAGCAGCCGCGGUAAUACGUAUGGAGCGAGCGUUGUCCGGAAUUAUUGGGCGUAAAGGGUACGCAGGCGGUUUAAUAAGUCGAAUGUUGAAGAUCGGGGCUCAACCCCGUAAAGCAUUGGAAACUGAUAAACUUGAGUAGUGGAGAGGAAAGUGGAAUUCCUAGUGUAGUGGUGAAAUACGUAGAUAUUAGGAGGAAUACCAGUAGCGAAGGCGACUUUCUGGACACAAACUGACGCUGAGGUACGAAAGCGUGGGGAGCAAACAGG